GACGAGAGAGAAGGAGCUUGCUUCUUCGAUCGAGUGGCGAACGGGUGAGUAACGCGUGAGGAACCUGCCUCAAAGAGGGGGACAACAGUUGGAAACGACUGCUAAUACCGCAUAAGCCCACGGGUCGGCAUCGACCUGAGGGAAAAGGAGUGAUCCGCUUUGAGAUGGCCUCGCGUCCGAUUAGCUGGUUGGUGAGGUAACGGCCCACCAAGGCGACGAUCGGUAGCCGGACUGAGAGGUUGAACGGCCACAUUGGGACUGAGACACGGCCCAGACUCCUACGAGAGGCAGCAGUGGGGAAUAUUGCACAAUGGGGGAAACCCUGAUGCAGCGACGCCGCGUGGAGGAAGAAGGUCUUCGGAUUGUAAACUCCUGUUGUUGAGGAAGAUAAUGACGGUACUCAACAAGGAAGUGACGGCUAACUACGUGCCAGCAGCCGCGGUAAAACGUAGGUCACAAGCGUUGUCCGGAAUUACUGGGUGUAAAGGGAGCGCAGGCGGGAAGACAAGUUGGAAGUGAAAUCUAUGGGCUCAACCCAUAAACUGCUUUCAAAACUGUUUUUCUUGAGUAGUGCAGAGGUAGGCGGAAUUCCCGGUGUAGCGGUGGAAUGCGUAGAUAUCGGGAGGAACACCAGUGGCGAAGGCGGCCUACUGGGCACCAACUGACGCUGAGGCUCGAAAGUGUGGGUAGCAAACAGGAUUAGAUAC
RNAcentral lists this ribosomal RNA (707 nucleotides) under uncultured bacterium. RNAcentral describes it as "bacterial SSU rRNA". It matches the Rfam family "Bacterial small subunit ribosomal RNA", at positions 65 to 785 of the family's 1533-position model. The record is from RNAcentral.